Long non-coding RNA from Macaca mulatta (Rhesus monkey), 1885 nucleotides. Lineage: Eukaryota; Metazoa; Chordata; Mammalia; Primates; Cercopithecidae. The record is from Ensembl.
AAAGAUUAUCUUCUAAAGUGGUAUCCGGCCUCUGUAGUAACUGUGGGCUAGGGUUGUAUAUGCCUUGUACAGAGGCAGUGUGUCUGUAGGAUGCCCUUGGGGCUGAAGAGUUUCCAUUCCAUCCCAGAUCCCAGCCUGCAGAAUAAAGAUAACUAAACUCUGACAGGUUGGGAUAUGGAAUGGAGUGGACGUAAAUGGGAUAUGUAGUGCAAAUAAAGUGUGUAUGCAGAUAACGACAUUUUACUCUUCCUUUUCGAUCUAGAUGCCUCCCCCCCUCCCCUUUUCUUGCUUUCUUGCUCUGGCUAGAAGGCUAGAAUCUACAGUAAAAAUUGAAUAGAAGUAACAUAAGAGAGGAUAUCCUUGCCUUGUUCUUAAUCUUAGAGAAAAAACACUCAUUGUUGCACUGUUAUGUAUGAAAUUAUCUCUAAAUUUUUUGUACAUGCCCUCCAUCAGAUUGAAGAAUUCCCUUUUUAUUCCUAGCUUUCUGAGAGUUUCAAAUAAAAAAUGGAUAUAAUGUUAAAAAUACAAUUUUCUUAUUAUCCUUGUAGUAUCUGUAGAAUGUAUAUUUAUCUCACCUCCCCAUACCUAACAUAGAUAAGUUGUGUCUUUUUUCCCUCAUCACUUUAAAUAGAGGCUUAUCAAUUUUACUGGUCUUCUCAAAGAACGUGCUUUUGCUUUCAUUUACUUUUUAUAUUGUUUUUCUUUUUAUAUUUCACUUAUUUCUAUUUUCAUCUAUAGUAUUUCCUGUAUUUAGCUUACUUUGAGUUGAAUUUGCUCUUCUUUCUGUAGGUUCUUAAAACAUGAACUGGGUUGAUGUGUGGAGAAGAACUGGGAGGUUAGGGAGAGUUCCUGCCCAAAGGGUAAGAGGAGACUUUAGAGAAAGCUCUUGCAGAGGCAGAAAAUAAAGACAAAGAGCAGAAAAGACAUCCCCGGGAAUUUGUGGUUGCAGACUGGCUUUCAUAUGGAUCUGCAUCUUGGGUUCACACAAUCCACACCUGCCAGGGGACAUUGAGCAAUGAACUUGACUUGAGGUUGUCACCAACUGCAAACAGUAGAGAUGUCUGGCAGAAGCAAAGGUAAGGACUUUCUGAAAGAGGAUAUACUCAACGUUAGGCCUCAGGGAUCACUCGCAAAUAAUGUUUUUUUCAAGAGCAAUGACUAGCACACAGGUAAAUUUAGCAGGUAUGCAAGGAGACAUGGCUACACGGCUGCUAAGCAACUGAAACAACAGACAUAGGAAAAAGACUCUUACUGACUUCAGGCAUUGGAAUUUUAGAGGCAGACUGAAAAAAAAUACACUUACUGGGUUUAAAUAAUUCAUUGGGUUUGGAAAUAUCUGCAAAGAACAGGCCACUAGAAAAACCACAGAGUAAAUUUGGAAAAAGUAUAGAUAUGGUAAACAAAUAACUAAAAUGGAAACUUAGGAUAUGGCACAGAUUGGACAUUAGAGAAUAGAGAAUUAGUAAAUUAGAAGACAGAAAGAAGAAAUUAUCUGGAUUAUGGCACAAAGAGACAAAACAUUGAAAAAUAUAGGAAACAGUAAGAAUAUGGAAAAUACUUUAAGAAUUACUAAUAAAUAAAGUACAGAACAUGUACAGAAGGACUAAUGCAUGUUUGAUUAGUGAAAAAAUAAGGAAAAGGCAAAUUUUCAAGAGAUAACCAAAAACUUUCCAGAGCUGUUGGUACCCAACCAUUCAUAAGCCUAUGUGAGCAAGAUAAAUGUUUAAAAAUCUACAUUUAGACAUCAUACAUGUAGAGAAAUACAAAAUCCAGGAGAAAGGUUUUGAAAGAAUCCAGAGAAAAGACAUCUUACUUUCAAAGCAAUGACAAUUAGAAUGAUGGCUGACCCAAUGAAAACAACAGUGGAAGGUAGAAACCAGUGGAA